Molecule: long non-coding RNA, 710 nt
Filed under: Mustela putorius furo (domestic ferret)
Lineage: Eukaryota; Metazoa; Chordata; Mammalia; Carnivora; Mustelidae
Description: lncRNA (ENSMPUG00000030944.1)
Source: RNAcentral
AGGAAGAAGAAAGCUGAGGUUUACCCUAAACAGAUGCUUACUCAAAGAAUUUCGUCUUGGGAAAGGGUUUAUCUGAAUGGUUGUAUAUGCCGCUGUUUUAAACACUUAUCCUACAUGUAAGCAAUCUUAUGGGGUUUGUUUUGCAAAGAAGUAAACUGCCACUUAAGAAACUGAAGCACUUUUUCAAUGUCUUUAAGGCCAGCAGAACAGCCAAGAUUUUAACCAGAGCUAAGACACAUGGCUCUGAGUAAAUUCACAACAGGAUGUCAUAGAGAAAAUGGUACCAUGUACUUUAUUUUGGUCCCUCAUGAGAAACAAGAUAAGGAAACAGGCUGAGAAAGGUCCUUUUCUCAAUGUCACUUGUGUACUGUUGGGAGCUGGGACUCCAUCCCAGGUUCCGCAGAUCUCAGGAGAGUUUGGUAAUGAAGAGAAGACAGAGAAGAAUAGAGAGAGGAAGCAGCAACAAUUACAAGGAAUUUAGAACACAGUCUGAGAAGGAGGCUUCCAUGUGUAAAACUCUGAGGCAGGUGCCACAAGGACACAUGCAUUUAGGAUGCACACUCACCUGGUUGGACUAUAAUCUAGUUGAAGGAUGGCAAGGCAAUAUGACAAGUACAUUAAUUACAAGAAAUAAUAUGGCGAAGUCGCGUCUACUGGAACCACAGAAGGUUGAUAUAUUCUCAUCUCUCACAGCCUAUGGUCACCAAUAA